UCAUCGACCAAAAUUCAGGAUAAAGUUUCAAAAAUUUUGUAAAAAAAAAAAAAACAUUUUAUUAUAGUUGAUUCUUGGGAUUUUAAUUUUCUUCCUAUCUCGUAAAAAGAAAGUGUCAGAUUUUUUCUUCAAAAAAGUCAAGUAAGCAAUUAAUUUAGUGGGGCUAGUGGGUCAACCUUUAGAAUUAAUUAGGCAUGAGAAAGCAGCUGCUAACUAGAAACCACAUAACGCAAAUAGCAAACCAAACUUGGCUCAACCAUGAAUUUCCAGCCUACGUAUUUAAUUAGGACCUUUACAUGAAGGGUAAUAUUAAUGUCAUCUCCACUUCAAAUUUAGUCUUUAUUAUAACAUUUAAACUAAAUAUAUACGCACGCAUAUUAUAUAAUCCCAAGAGAAUUAUUUGUUCAUCUGGUAGGAAGGCAUUGAAGAGAGAGAGAAUGGGAAAUUGCUUGAGGAGCAGCCAUGGAUGUACGGUGCACCCAGUGGAGCAAGAUGGGAAAGAGAGCAGCUUCAGGGCAGCAGGAAAGAAUAAGGUGCGAAUCAAAGUAAGAAUGAGUAAGAAGCAAUUGGAGGAGUUCAUCGCAGAGGUUAAUUUUAGCAAAGGUACUUCAGAGCUUGGCAGGGUUAUAUAUCAACACUGCUUGGAAGGUAGGCUAAGUGCCCGUGUUAUUGGCCGGGAGGCUCUCCAGAUGCCGUUAACUUCCAUGAACGAAGAAGAAACAGAAGAUCGUGUCAAUCCUCCCACAGAAAUUACAGGUAGAACUGGGUAUUAACUAUUAAGAUGAAGAGAAACAUAUACAUAUAUACAUAUAUAUAUAUAUAUAUAUAUAUACACAUAUAUGAGUAUAUAUCUACCUGCAUGUGUGUACUUUGGUGCCACUUUUAUUGUGCUUUUUCCUCUUUUAUCAGUGUUACCCUGGUGUUUCCAUUUAACCAAGUUAAAAAGAGAAUUUUGUUCCAUUACAUCACUAAUUACCUAAUUAUAUGCUAAUUACUUAGCAUCAUAUACAAACACAUUAUUUUCAUCUAUCUGUUUAUAUUCCAUUGUAUCUGCAAUUGUUUUACGAUUCUUACCUUAAAAUUUUUUGAAGUGUCCUAAACAAACUUUAAAUUGAAAGAAUUCAAUUCUGGUAUUUAACUUGAGGUGAAAAAAUUAAGGGAGUGAGUGAAAUAGGUGAGAGAGUGUUAUUUAUUAAUCUUUUAUUGUAGGUUUUCACAAUGUUUGUACAUGAUAAUAUAAGAUUCCAUAUAAAAUAUCCCAAAGAAUGCUUAAAAGGCUUAAUCAAGCGAUGAGAGAUGUAACAUUUUUUUUACCGCAUUAUUACCUCAACACUGAACUAUAGAAAUCUUCUUACUCAAAAUUUUUGUUCUCAAAUUUAUGAAUAUGUUUCUUUUUUUUUCACAGGAACAGAAGUUUCUUCUGUGUUGUUUAGGCAAUUACCACAAAAAAGAUAAUUACAAAAUGUUAAUCAUGCCUUCAGAUUUUUGAAAAUUACUUAGAUGAAGGCAAUCUUAUUCUCUCAAUUUAAACUAUUAGGAUUUCUUCUCUAAUUUUUUUUAAUUGAAAUAGAGAUAUCAAAUUAAAUCAUUGCUUUCAAUCACCGUUUAUGUCUGGUAUUGUGGCUAAUUUAACAUUCGGUACCAUGAAUAUUAUGUAUAUCAUGUAUAUAUAUAUAUAUAUAUAUAUGUAUGUAUGUAAUUAUGUGCUUGUAAAAUUGCAAAAACUUAUGAUGAAGUAUGGGCCCAUUCUCCUCCUAAUGCUCCGAUGAUGAAAGCUGACUUAACUGGGCUUCGGUCCGUUAUGGACUCAUGCUUGGUAAGGCCCAUAUAAUAAUUAAACUUUUCUAAUCUCUCAAAUUGCGUUCAAAUUUAUCCCAACUUUUCAAGCAAGAUCAUUACACUUUUAUUGGGAAUAAAUUUUUUUGUAGGCGAAUCUUGAACCCUUGCAUUUUAGGAAUUUUCUCCUUGUGUUGUACAUUUAUGUUUUUCUUAGUCACUCAUUCUUUCCACAAAUGAUAAUGAUUAAUAAUAUUGACAAGGACGAGACUAAAAGGAACGUAUGAACUUAUUUGAUAAGAUGAAAUGGCCUCAUAUAUUUUACAUUUUCUACCAAUGUGGAUAAAUGGUAGCUUUGAGUUUAAUUCAAUUUAAAGAUUAUGGCUCUAAUAUUCAAGUUAGUAAAAAAAACAAAAUGUGGGAGGUGUAAAUGAAUUAGAUUUUAUGUUAAAAAAACAAAAAAAGAGAGAAUAUUCUCUUGUUCUUCUCGUAUGUCAACUUUAUAUAUGUAAGUUUAUGUUAAUUGUA
This 2304-nucleotide long non-coding RNA is filed under the name Carica papaya (papaya). RNAcentral describes it as "long non-coding RNA (CPAP_LNC001590)". Lineage: Eukaryota; Viridiplantae; Streptophyta; Magnoliopsida; Brassicales; Caricaceae. The record is from RNAcentral.